This 1057-nucleotide long non-coding RNA is filed under the name Mytilus galloprovincialis (Mediterranean mussel). The record is from RNAcentral. Lineage: Eukaryota; Metazoa; Mollusca; Bivalvia; Mytilida; Mytilidae.
UGUUUAAACAGGAAGUUUCAAAAGCACGUGUAAAAGAAGAAAUUAACCGGUGAGAGUGGAAAUCCGUACAUAACAUAUAUCACUAUAGUACGACUUUUAAAGCAAAACAGUUUCAUCCUUUUGUAAAACAGUCUUAAAUAUACCUAUCACAUUAAUGUUUGAAGGGUCUUAAGCUUAUUCAAACCAUAUAAGUCGGUAUGAAACACCAAAACGGAAUGAUAAUAACCGAUUACGUUUUGUAGUUUACAAAAUUCUGGACUGGUUCCUGUCAAACUACAACACUUUGUUCGACUGUAGUGGAAUACAACAGAACCAGUUAGUUUGUAAACUGGUUCCUGGCUGAUUACUACACAAUGCUCAUGCAUAAUGAUAACACAAGCACAUUCCAGUUUGUAUUGAAAUUAGUAAAUACGAAACCAAGCGCGGUAGGCAGAGAAAUCAGGUCGGCAGUUAUGGAACAAUGACUGCGUCAUUUUCCUAAAAGAAUUGUAUCUGAAUUAUUUUUCUAGUUUUUGAUUUCUUAAGUCUCAUAUAUUUAUAAAAGAAAAUGUGAGGUAGACUUUUAUUAGCAAGGAAUUCAAUAAUGCAAUUAAAAAAAAAGACAAAAAAAUAUUGCACUUAACCAUGAUAAUGAUAUAUAUACAAUAUAUGUAGCACAAUUUUGAUAAAUUCACAAUUCAUUCAGGCAUUACUAUACCCCUAUUUAAUGUUAUGUUCUGGAGUUAUUCUCUGAACAUGAUUACCAGUAACACAACAUAUCAAAUAAUCAUUUGGUUAUCAGUUAGAGGCUUGAUAUUUAAACAAGAAAGACUAGUUAAACCCCAUUACAUGAUCAUUUUCCUGUCUGCAGAUUAGCCAACUAAUUUACUAGUUUGAAUGUCAUUUUCUGUCAAAUAACUUAAGGAAUCUUCUUGUCAGUUGAUGAUGGUUCAUAUGUCAAUCAAUAUACAUGUGUAUAAGACAAUGAUGACAUUAAAACUUGGCAUAUAUACAUAACAACAAAUAAGCUCUAGUAUAAUUAGGUUAGAAAGUACAUUUUCAAUGUUUUUUUUAAACA